AGCUUUGUGUUUUCCAGGGCUCCUAUUGCCCAGAAAAAUGCCUGUGCAGGGACACCAGAGGGUGUGUUGCCAGCCCUGGCACAUGGUGGCUGUCAAGGGCACUGAAGCACAAGAGACAAGUUCAGGAGACCUGGGUUCCUACAUUGUCCAGAGCUGUUGUAGGGCUUCUGCUGUGAUGCUGGAUGGAGACCACACCUCAGAGGCUGUGCCUGUGUUUAUCUUCUCUCCUGGGUGCCAACGUGACAGUGGUACCAAGAAGCCCCUGCUCAGGCUAGAGACCCAGUGCCAGAUGCUGUAUGUUCUCAUGGAAGGAGUGGGAGCCAGCCUUGGAGAACCAUGCAGGAAGAGCCCAGGCCCUGACUUGGAGUGCUCUGUGCUUCAGGGCUUCUGCUCCUCUGUAUGUUCCAAAUCCCCAACCCUUCUUGCUCCAGAACUUCUGAAGUGCACCUCCCACCUCCCUGAAAUGCCUUUCAGCUCUGCCUGAUGCAGCAGGACCUGCUCCAUUUCUCCUGUCAG
RNAcentral lists this long non-coding RNA (516 nucleotides) under Cyanistes caeruleus (blue tit). Its description in RNAcentral is "lncRNA (ENSCCEG00000021251.1)". The record is from RNAcentral. Lineage: Eukaryota; Metazoa; Chordata; Aves; Passeriformes; Paridae.